UUUGAUUUAUAUCUUACAUGUGGAUUGGUUAGGAGUUUAAAUCUGCUGAGCUCUGCAGAUGUGCACAUCAAAGUACAAAUUAUGUCUCAACCUCAAAACAUUUUUUUUUGCAGUCAGUAUAAAAGACUCCAGCAUUUUACUGCAGUUUGUCACAGACCAAUUAGUUCCAUUAAGAAAUUCAUAUUAUACUUUUAUAGUAAUAUACAAAUUCCCUUUGAAUUAUAUAUUCUACCUUAGAUUUUUAAUUGAUGAAACUGGCAAAAGUGGGAAGCCUAAGAAUGAAGUUUUUAUAUGUUUGCACCAUUUUUCUGUUUACAGACUGUGCAUUUACUGCUGCCCAUAUUGACAAUGAAGGAAAGUGUCAAAAGGUACCAGGCAGAUUAGACAAAUUUCCUGGAACCUUUGUACCUCAGUGUGAUGAGAAUGGUGAUUAUCAACCAAAGCAGUGCCAUGGUAGCACUGGGCACUGUUGGUGUUCGACCAAGAAUGGAA
This is a long non-coding RNA of Protopterus annectens (West African lungfish), 492 nucleotides long. RefSeq lists it as uncharacterized. The record is from RefSeq and is a predicted model, not a curated record. Lineage: Eukaryota; Metazoa; Chordata; Ceratodontiformes; Protopteridae. The transcript is spliced from 2 exons.